RNAcentral lists this transfer RNA (66 nucleotides) under Ispidina picta (African pygmy-kingfisher). Its description in RNAcentral is "partial tRNA-Leu". It matches the Rfam family "tRNA", at positions 9 to 71 of the family's 71-position model. From Rfam's summary of the family: Transfer RNA (tRNA) molecules are approximately 80 nucleotides in length. Lineage: Eukaryota; Metazoa; Chordata; Aves; Coraciiformes; Alcedinidae. The record is from RNAcentral.
GGCAGAGUUCGGCAAAUGCAAAAGGCUUAAGCCCUUUGGCCAGAGGUUCAAAUCCUCUCCCUAGCU